GGUGAAUCUGACAUUAAUGUCUUCUCUUAUGCUUCUAGCUGGAGCAUAAAGGUUAAUGAUAGAAAGAUGACAAAUAUCAAUGUUAUAAUGUAUUAGUUCUCUAAAUAAUUAGCAAACCCAAUUUGGAUCAUAAUUCUUAAGUUCAUUUAAGGUUUGAUCAUGACCUUUCGGUCUUACUAGUGCCGUUCUCAUUUCUCAGAAUAGUAGCAGUCACCAAGACAAAGAGAGUUUGAAUUCUGGUAAAAACACUCCCAUCUACAGGAAGUCAGAUUUUGCUGAAGACAAGUCAAAAGGAAUAUGGGGAUUAAGCCACACCAUCGUUGAAGUUAACAGAAUCCCACUGGCAUGAAACCCAGACUUUCAGACAUACGGUGCUCAACCAUUGGUCUGGACCGCGGGACCUUCAACCGCUAUGAGGUUUACAGAAAACUCAGCAGAAAUGAUGAAAUACCCACUCUAAAACAAGAACAAACAAAAUGAAUAAGUCACAAAUCUGCCUUUGAAAAGUUGACAAUGAAAGAACUAAAAACCUCCACAAAUAAUUUCAAUAUAACAUACUUAAAAACCUAUUUCAACUUUUACAAACAUCAUCUUUGCCU
Molecule: long non-coding RNA, 599 nt
Filed under: Macaca mulatta (Rhesus monkey)
Lineage: Eukaryota; Metazoa; Chordata; Mammalia; Primates; Cercopithecidae
Description: lncRNA (ENSMMUG00000058057.1)
Source: RNAcentral